RNAcentral lists this ribosomal RNA (824 nucleotides) under uncultured bacterium. Its description in RNAcentral is "bacterial SSU rRNA". It matches the Rfam family "Bacterial small subunit ribosomal RNA", at positions 55 to 917 of the family's 1533-position model. The record is from RNAcentral.
AUGCAGUUGACGGGAUUUGUAUGGUGCUUGCACCAUGUAAUGAGAGUAGCGCACUGGUGAGUAACACGUGGGAACAUACCUUGAAGUGGGGGACAACAGUUGGAAACGACUGCUAAUACCGCAUAAUCCCUGAGGGGGAAAGAUUUAUCGCUUUAAGAUUGGCCCGCGGAAGAUUAGGUAGUUGGUGGGGUAAAGGCCUACCAAGCCGACGAUCUAUAGCUGGUCUGAGAGGACGAACAGCCACAUUGGAACUGAGACACGGUCCAGACUCCUACGGGAGGCAGCAGUGAGGAAUAUUGGGCAAUGGAGGAAACUCUGACCCAGCCAUGCCGCGUGAGUGAAGAAGGUUUUCGAAUUGUAAAGCUCUUUCGGAUGGGACGAUGAUGACGGUACCAUCUAAAGAAGCCCCGGCAAACUUCGUGCCAGCAGCCGCGGUAAUACGAAGGGGGCAAGCGUUGUUCGGAAUUACUGGGCGUAAAGGGUGUGUAGGCGGAUUUGUAAGAUAGUGGUGAAAUACCUGAGCUCAACUUAGGAAUUGCCAUUAUAACUAUAGAUCUGGAGUGACAGAGAGGAUAUUGGAAUACCCAGUGUAGAGGUGAAAUUCGUAGAUAUUGGGUAGAACACCAGUGGCGAAGGCGAGUAUCUGGCUGUCAACUGACGCUGAGGCACGAAAGCAUGGGGAUCAAACAGGAUUAGAUACCCUGGUAGUCCAUGCUGUAAACGAUGAAUGCUAGUUGUCGGCAAAAGCCGGUGACGCAGUUAACGCGAUAAGCAUUCCGCCUGGGGAGUACGGUCGCAAGAUUAAACUCAAAGGAAUUGACGGG